AGCGUAGGCGGCGCGGUAAGUCAGAUGUGAAAUCCCGGGGCUCAACCCCGGAACUGCAUCCGAUACUGCCGUGCUCGAGGAUUGGAGAGGUAGCUGGAAUUCUUGGUGUAGCAGUGAAAUGCGUGGAUAUCAAGAGGAACACUCGUGGCGAAAGCGAGCUACUGGACAACUCCUGACGCUGAGGCUCAAGGGCCAGGGGAAGGCGAAAGG
RNAcentral lists this ribosomal RNA (210 nucleotides) under uncultured bacterium. RNAcentral describes it as "partial 16S ribosomal RNA". It matches the Rfam family "Bacterial small subunit ribosomal RNA", at positions 568 to 775 of the family's 1533-position model. The record is from RNAcentral.